UGGGUUCAGACCCACGGCGAACGGCUGCGUAACACGUUGGUACCUACCCCGGACUCAGGGAUAUCCCGCCGAAAGGUGGAGUAAUACCGGAUGACCUCGCAAGAGGAAAGAUUUAUCGGUCUGGGAAGGGCCUGCGGCCUAUCAGGUAGUUGGUAAGGUAACGGCUUACCAAGCCUAUGACGGGUAGCUGAUUUGAGAGAAUGAUCAGCCAGAAUGGAACUGAGACACGGUCCAU
This 235-nucleotide ribosomal RNA is filed under the name uncultured bacterium. RNAcentral describes it as "partial 16S ribosomal RNA". It matches the Rfam family "Bacterial small subunit ribosomal RNA", at positions 82 to 334 of the family's 1533-position model. The record is from RNAcentral.